RNAcentral lists this long non-coding RNA (601 nucleotides) under Callithrix jacchus (white-tufted-ear marmoset). RNAcentral's name for it is "lncRNA (ENSCJAG00000078667.1)". Lineage: Eukaryota; Metazoa; Chordata; Mammalia; Primates; Cebidae. The record is from RNAcentral.
AUACCUUAGGACAGAGAGCACAUUACAGGGAGAGCACAUUGACAUCCUGUUUUGCAUUAUUCUCUGUGGCCAGCGAGUGCACUGAGGGAGUCUGGCUGUGCUGCCGAAGCCAUUUCCCCGGGGAGAAAGCAGUCUCUUCCGACCGCCCGAACAGAGUGGGAAUGGAAGAUGCAUUCUCCACCAGGGAUGAAUCGGAAAACUGACAGCCCCAAGAUAAGAGAAAGGAGAUCCAAAGCAUUUACAACUGCAGACGUGCUCUUCGCAUGUAGUGGUGAAUAGGGCUGAUUUGCAUUUAGAUUCCUGGGUAAGUUAAAUCGCAGCAUUUCAGGGCAUUCCAGGCAUUCAGUCCUACUUUCAGCAGCGUUAUUAAUAACCUACGACGCCUCACGAGGUCGACACACGAUUAGCUUCCCAGAGUCCCUUCUCACCUGGGGGAGAAGCUCGAGAGUCCCUGCCUUAGAGCGCAUCGUUCCUGCUCUUCCUUCAGCUGCCGUUUCAGUAUAUUUUUUGGCAACCUGAAGGUUCUGAGAGGGAGUUGGUGCUGAAGUUUCUGGAGGCUUCCAUGGUUGUCACGGAAACCUCAGGUUAGGCUUCUCCCAGU